AUUGACCGCUGGCGGCAGGCCUAACAAAUGCAAGUCGAGCGAGCGGCGGACGGGUGAGUAAUGUAUGGGGAUCUGCCGGAUGGUGGGGGAUAGCUACUGGAAACGGUAGCUAAUACCGCAUACUAUCGGAUGAACCCAUGUGGGAUUAGCUAGUAGGUGGGGUAAAGGCUCACCUAGGCGACGAUCUCUAGCUGGUCUGAGAGGAUGAACAGCCACACUGGAACUGAGACACGGUCCAGACUCCUACGGGAGGCAGCAGUGGGGAAGAUUGCACAAUGGGCGCAAGCCUGAUUCAGCCAUGCCGCGUGUAUGAAGAAGGCCUUAGGGUUGUAAAGUUCUUUCAGUUGGGAGGCGUUACCUACAGAAGAAGCACCGGCUAACUCCGUGCCAGCAGCCGCGGUAAUAC
This 406-nucleotide ribosomal RNA is filed under the name uncultured bacterium. Its description in RNAcentral is "partial 16S ribosomal RNA". It matches the Rfam family "Bacterial small subunit ribosomal RNA", at positions 30 to 526 of the family's 1533-position model. The record is from RNAcentral.